GAUGAACGCUGGCGGCGCGCUUAACACAUGCACGUCAAACGGAACGGCUCUUGCUUGCUUGGGUACUCGAGUGGCGAUCGGGUGAGUACCACGUGGGUGAUCUGCCCUGCACUUCGGGAUACGCCUGGGCAACUGGGUCUAAUACCGGAUAGGUCUACUUCUUGGCUGUUGUGGUGGGAAGUUUUUUCGGUGUGGGAUGAGAUCUCGGCCUAUCCGCUUGUUGGUGCGGUAAUCGCCGACAAAGGCGUCGACGGGUAGCCGGCCUGCGAGGGUGUAUGGCCACAUUGGGACUGAGAUACGGCCCAGACUCGUACGGGAGGCAGCAGUGGGGAAUAUUGCACAAUGGGCGCAAGCCUGAUGCAGCGACGCCGCGUGGGGGAUGAGGGCAUUCGGGUUGUAAACUCCUUUCGCUAGGGACGAAGCGUUGUUGUGACGGUACCUGGAGAAGAAGCACCGGCUAACUACGUG
Molecule: ribosomal RNA, 468 nt
Filed under: uncultured bacterium
Lineage: Bacteria
Description: partial 16S ribosomal RNA
Rfam family: Bacterial small subunit ribosomal RNA
Source: RNAcentral